Molecule: long non-coding RNA, 1423 nt
Organism: Ahaetulla prasina
Lineage: Eukaryota; Metazoa; Chordata; Lepidosauria; Squamata; Colubridae
Exons: 3
Source: RefSeq, a predicted model, not a curated record
UUUAAUUAAAUGUUGGAAGAUUCACUUCCCAUUCAAAUAAUUGUGUAUCUAUAUAUCUGCAUAUACACUGUUACGGGCCACACUCUCAAAAAGGAAAAAAAAGGAUCACGACAAAAAUUAAAUAAUUAUUAAUAGAAUUAAUAUACUGAUGAUUAAAAUUAAUUACAUAUAAAAUAAAGUAUUCCAGCCUUAAAAAUAAAUUGGGCCCCCACCACCUUCAUGAAUAUGCAUAAAGCAUUGUUUUUCAGACACAAGCUCACAGUCUUGCCUCUUUCUCCUUCAUCAAAACAGCAACAAAAGAAGAAAAGGAGAAGGGGGCUGUAUUAGGAGAGAUCAAGACAGGAUGGAGAACAAAAAGAAGACAGACUGAUGAAAACUCAACAUAAUAUAUACCUGCAAAAAAUCUCACUAUAAUAUGGAAUGCAAGGAUGCUUCUAGCCUUGUUCAACUAUUAUGAAAUCUUGCAUAAACUUAAGUCAUUCUAAUAAAAGGUGAUAAAUUAUGCUACUUUGAGCAAUGAUAUUGAACGAACAUCUCAAAAAAUAUGCACAUUUUGAAUGAAGGGAUGAAACUUUAUUUCAUGGUUAUUAAAAUACAAUAUUGUGUUGCUACGGAUAAGCAAAUUGCCCACUCAAAGGAAUAUUUUACGACAGGCUCAAAAACUACAAAGAAAUGCAGGAGAAGAGAGUUUAAUUAUCUUGGAAGACUUCAAUGUGGAUGCAAAUUCAGCCUUGUGGAGACCGAAUAUGACUUCCAAAGUAUUCAGUAACAGGUUUAAGCUCCUCCAGGACAUAUUAGCAACAUUAUCUCAUCUGAACAGAUGCAAGGUAUACCUGCCAGAAUCAGUCCUGAUUGGAAAAUGAACGAAGCAAAGCAGUUCCCUUGCCUUAUGGGAAGCAUGGAGGCUUACAUCCAAGUGACAUGGGAUGUUCAUGUUAGAAUUACCACUUCUGUAGUUAAACUAAAUUUAGACCCUGAAGCAUUGCUUUUAUAUGUCUGAAAAGUAGCUCUAGGGAUGACCUGCAAAAGGAAGCUUCACCAGGAAUACUGAUUAAAUAAAUUCAAAAUUUUCCAAACUAGAUUCUAUUUAAAAAAAGAAACCAGAAACAUUUCUGCUUGUGCUGGUGAUGAAGAAAAGCAAUAAAGAAGCAGCCAUCCUUCAAUUUUCAUGUUUUAAGCUUAGGAAGACAGUUUUUAGAUUGGAUGGUUGAAAAAGUAUUCAAUAAAAGAAUGAAACGAUUAUAAUUAUAUUUAAGAGGGAGGAGGAAUCAUUUUGACUGUAGCUGCUAUAAGGAAGGCAGAAAUAUAUACAUAUUUUUAAAAAAAUAUUUAAUGGUAUUGUGGAUGCUCUAUCAGUAGAGGCUUUUAAGAAAAGAUUGUCUGAAAUAGUAUAAGGGUCUCCUGCUUGAGCAGGGGGUUGGAC